AUGGGUGUGCAGGCUAUGAUGGAUGUCCGGUGCAUGAACCUUGUCAACCCUGUAUGCAACUGGCUUGGUGAGAUCUACGACCCCGCCUCCAGGGAAUUCAUGAUUCCGGGACGUGGAAGACUACAGUUGAACGAGGAAUCUGUGUUCUGCACUUUGGAUGUGCCUCGUGGACAUAUCAAAGUCCCGUACGAGGUCAAUAAUGAGAUCGAGGAAGCGUUGUUCCCCCGUUUGUUUCCUGGGUUGGAAUCCAUGCCGAACACGUCUGCAAUGGCAGAUUCGCUGCAGGCCAUGACAACGCAUGGAGAUGUUUUCAAGAUGAAGCUACUCAUGUACCUCAUCUCAGUUGUUUUCGCGCCGACCACUUCUCUUCGCCCAAGCAACAAAUGCUUUCCCAUCCUGGCGGAUCUGAAAAAUGUGAAGAACAUGAAUUUGUGUAAGUUUAUUGCCGACUUCCUGCACGAUGCAUUCUCAAACAAGAUGUACCAAAAGGGUUGUCGACUGCAUUUAAUGCUCAUGUACGUCGACUGUCUUGAUCUGUCCACCAUGGCUUUCAUUGGGACUGGAGGCCCGCCGCCUACACACAAGUUUGUUGUUUCUGCGUGGACUAUCAAUGCUGUCAAGGUUGUGCUUGCCGCAGACAAGGCUACUGACACCACAUAUGGAAAACUGCAGCUGAUGGCCAAGCACGCUAUAGACUACAGCGUGUUUGGGGGGCCUCAAAACUUUGGAAAGUGGAUGGACGUGCACUCAGCUCCGUCUUGCCUUGCCGAGGCAAGGGCACCUGUUGAGCAUCUAAUAGGGCAGUUUGCAUCCGGAAUGACCGGCUUUCUCGGGAAGUUGGUUGAGGGGUGGACGUCCCUCAGUGGCUCUGACAGUGACGUGGUUGCGAGGCAGUUCACUUCAUUUGUCCCAGAAUGUACACAUCGGCCAACCAGUUGCCGUGGCCGGUAUGACUACAACAGUUCCCAAGAGCCUGCUGACACACAAGAUGAACUAGGUGGAGAUGCUGGUCUUAGCAAGGAUGACGACGAUGACAUGGAGAAUGUGCAACAGGACACCGAUGAUGAUGAACAUGCUGAAGUUUGCGCAAGUGGUAACAAGGGCAAGGAUGCAACAGAUGUCCCCCAACCGAAGAAAGUC
RNAcentral lists this ribosomal RNA (1140 nucleotides) under Triticum aestivum (bread wheat). RNAcentral describes it as "partial small subunit ribosomal RNA". Lineage: Eukaryota; Viridiplantae; Streptophyta; Magnoliopsida; Poales; Poaceae. The record is from RNAcentral.